Molecule: non-coding RNA, 72 nt
Organism: Caenorhabditis elegans
Lineage: Eukaryota; Metazoa; Nematoda; Chromadorea; Rhabditida; Rhabditidae
Source: the annotation of a RefSeq genome assembly
GACCCGCUGGCUCAACUGGGUAGAGGUUUGGCUAUGGCCCAGAGGGUCAAGGGUUCGACCCCCGCCGAGGCA